GACGAACCGAGCGAACGUUGUUCGGAAUCACUGGGCUUAAAGGGCGCGUAGGCGGGCCGUCAAGUCAGGGGUGAAAGCCUCCAGCUCAACUGGAGAAGUGCCUCUGAUACUGGCGGCCUCGAGGGAGGUAGGGGCGUGCGGAACUUCCGGUGGAGCGGUGAAAUGCGUAGAUAUCGGAAGGAACACCGGUGGCGAAAGCGGCGCGCUGGACCUCUUCUGACGCUGAGGCGCGAAAGCCAGGGGAGCAAACGGG
RNAcentral lists this ribosomal RNA (253 nucleotides) under uncultured bacterium. Its description in RNAcentral is "partial 16S ribosomal RNA". It matches the Rfam family "Bacterial small subunit ribosomal RNA", at positions 524 to 776 of the family's 1533-position model. The record is from RNAcentral.